UGAGGAAUAUUGGGCAAUGCCCGAAAGGGUGACCCAGCAACGCCGCGUGGAGGAUGAAGGUCGUAAGAUUGUAAACUCCUGUUAGAGGGGAAGAAUAACUAAGUUUGGAGCUUAGUAUGACUGUACCCUCAGAGAAAGCCCCGGCUAACUACGUGCCAGCAGCCGCGGUAAUACGUAGGGGGCAAGCGUUGUCCGGAUUUACGGGGUGUAAAGGGCGCGCAGGCGGAAUGGAAAGUCAGUGGUGAAAUCCUACAGCUUAACUGUAGAACUGCCAUUGAUACUUUCAUUCUUGAGUUCGGGAGAGAGAGACGGAAUUCCAGGUGUAGUGGUGAAAUACGUAGAUAUCUGGAAGAACACCAGUUGCGAAGGCGGUCUCCUGGUCCGAUACUGACGCUGAGGCGCGAA
RNAcentral lists this ribosomal RNA (405 nucleotides) under uncultured bacterium. Its description in RNAcentral is "bacterial SSU rRNA". It matches the Rfam family "Bacterial small subunit ribosomal RNA", at positions 355 to 757 of the family's 1533-position model. The record is from RNAcentral.